RNAcentral lists this ribosomal RNA (264 nucleotides) under Lernaea cyprinacea. Its description in RNAcentral is "partial large subunit ribosomal RNA". It matches the Rfam family "Eukaryotic large subunit ribosomal RNA", at positions 101 to 345 of the family's 3401-position model. Lineage: Eukaryota; Metazoa; Arthropoda; Copepoda; Cyclopoida; Lernaeidae. The record is from RNAcentral.
GGCAGAGCCCAGCACUGAACCGCCAGUCUUUGAAAGGGUUGCGCAGAAUGUAGUGUUUGGGAGAGCCUUCUCAUGAUGCGCGGUGCAAAAUCUGUCUAAGUCCACCUUGACUGGGGCCACUACCCAUAGAGGGUGAUAGGCCCGUAAGACAGUCUGCGUGUUGUGCUGGCUUUUUCCCUGGAGUCGAGUUGCUUGGGAGUGCAGCUCAAAGUGCGUGGUAAACUCCACGUAAGGCUAAAUAUCAGGCGACGGUAGAAACUGCGC